Molecule: ribosomal RNA, 253 nt
Filed under: uncultured bacterium
Lineage: Bacteria
Description: partial 16S ribosomal RNA
Rfam family: Bacterial small subunit ribosomal RNA
Source: RNAcentral
UACGGAGGGGGCUAGCGUUGUUCGGAAUUACUGGGCGUAAAGCGCACGUAGGCGGCUUUGUAAGUUAGAGGUGAAAGCCUGGAGCUCAACUCCAGAAUUGCCUUUAAGACUGCAUCGCUUGAAUCGCGGAGAGGUGAGUGGAAUUCCGAGUGUAGAGGUGAAAUUCGUAGAUAUUCGGAAGAACACCAGUGGCGAAGGCGGCUCACUGGACGCGUAUUGACGCUGAGACGCGAAAGCGUGGGGAGCAAACAGG